AAUAGAGUGCUCCCCUUUAUUUCCACAAACGGAGUGUGGUGAGCGUGCUAGGAGCACCUCCCUCGGACACUGAAGGGGCAGAGCGUGGGCCCAUCCAGCCAGGGCUGGUUUGCAGGCAUGUAGCUGGCAUGCUUUGCCCAGCUACCUGCAAGUCUGAGAAUUACUUUUUCCAGAUACCUUACAGGAGGUUGGAGACAUGGCCUCCUGUCCCCAUCUGCCAUCUUGCCUGGAGUUGGGGAUAAACAAGCUUCUCCAUCAGGCUCAGAUGAAUAUCUUUGGAAGUUGUUCCAGACACUGGCCAUCUGGUUCCAAAAUAAAUGUUCGCUUCCCAGAUUGCAUUUCCCAUUCUCACUUGCAGAUGGCAUCUGGAGAUUGAUUCCUGAACCUGAUUCUUGGCUCUGAAUCAAGCUCUUCUGACCUGGUAAGAUGUGGUUCCUUCCAAGUAAUGGCCUAGGCAGAAAGUAACAUGUGGUAGGAAAGAGCAUGGGCCUCACCAGGCUUGAAGUGAGUUCCCGCCUCCAUAGGCAAGUUACUCAGCCUCUCUGUGCCCAUUUCUUUAUGUGUGAAUUGUGAUUGUAUAGCAUCCAUGUUGUGAGACUCAUGGCAUAAUGGAACACAAGGAUAAUAUUUGUGAACUACUUGGACAGUGCUUGCACACACAUUAUUUUUCCUAUACUUAGCUUAGUAGUCAGUGGAGAUAAGUGGACCCCGUCCCUGUGAUCAACAGCACUGUUUUAGUUUCUGCAUGGAAGGGGCAGGUGACAGUGGUCUGAAGAUGUAUUUGGAACCUGGCCUAUGAGGAGAAUGGUCACCUGGUUUGGGGGGUUGCUCACCCGGAGCCUUUGCAGUCUCAGAGGACCACAAGUCGGCACGGCCUUCUGAGAAGACUUCUGAUGCUCUGUCCAGAUGGCCCUCCAUCAGAUGGGAGCUUCAGUCCUCAAUUAGAGCAUCCCUCCAAAGGCAAAGUGACCCCUGAGCAAGAGUGAGUAGCCCUAUGUUGACUGUUGGGCCUCCAAAGGCUGUUUCUGGAGGGGACCUGGGGCAGAACCCAGAAGAUUUUGGGCUGCAUUGAUUGCCUAGGGGGGAGGAAAUGUGGCAUUCACUCGGCCUUUGGAGGCAGACACCACUGACUAUGCACAAGACGUCAGGCAGCUGCCCCUGCCCUCCCAGGGGCUCUUGCUUAACCACUUCUGAAAGCCUCGAACCCUCUCUUCCUCAUCUAUACCACGGGACUGUCGCUGGUACUUACCGCCUGUGAUAGUUGUGAGGCCUGGCUGGGAUCAUAAUGUCCACAGAGAUGCUUUAUGUCAUGGAAACAUGCAGUAUAUUUCUGAAAACAUUUUUCCCCCCAAAUAUAGAAUAGAUACAGGACUUAAAAGGUUCUAGUGGUAAAAAAGGCUAUGCACUGAAAAGUCACUCUCCCUCCUACUCUUGACCCUGACUCCCAUGGGGUGUGUCCAGAGGAAACCACGGUUAUCAGUGUCUUGUGUGAACUGCCGAAGAUAUUCUACAUACAUAUCAGCAUGGACAUUUUUAAUGCAUAUGUAUGACAUAUACACACAAAUGCUUUAAUUUUCAAAAGUGGAAAUGUCGUAUGGUUCGACCUAAAUAUAUGUGUGUGUAUAAACAAUGAAGCAUACUGUUCUAUAUUUCAUUUAUUUUAAUUUAAUAAUAUUUUGGGGAAACCAUUCUCUGUCAAGUCUUGCAGAUAUACCUCAUUCUUUUUAAUAGUCAUGUAGUAAUCCCAGCCUGCAGAUAGACCCUAAUUAUACAUUAAUUAAUUUAACUAGCCACUUCUUGAUGACUAGUGCUUGGUCUUUUGUACCAUUUAUGGAGAAGAAAGGGAAAGCCUGCCCCUCAGCAUUCUGCAUCCCCCAGGCCCCCAGGCCCCCAGGCCAGCCUCCCAGCCUCCAGCACCUGUCCUGCCCUUUCUGUUGGGGAACUCCCUGGAGUGUGCAUUUUUCCCUCUGCAACUGUGCUAGACCAAGUUUUGGGCUCCUGCUCUCAACCUAAACCUGCCUUAGAUCUCUUCAUAACUCCGCUUGCAAGUGGAGGCCCCUUAAUUUGGCCCACAGGACUCUUUAACACUUUUUAAACCCUGUUAAACCCAUGUAAUGAGUUUCCCCUUGCUGUGCUCCUGGCCCUGAAAGCUGAGAGCAGGGGCCCAGCCCUCCCACCUGUUCAGAGAUUAAGCUGUGAUGGAGAGGCAGAGGGGCUGUAUGGAAGGGGUGGGUCAGUGGGAGCUCUGGGGUCAGCCAUGCAAGCAGGACUGCUGGCAGGAGUGGGGUGUGGGUGCCCCUCAGUGUCAGGCAGGAGUUCUUCGCAGAGCGUCAGGGCCCUGCUGCCUAUUGCGGUGUCAGCAACUAGUCCUCUCUUUGGGUGUGGAGACCACUCUGCUGGGGUCAGGGGAGUGGGCAAAGCUGGCAGCAGCUUGGCUUGCCAAGGUGACAGUUACAUGCCCCAGGUGGCACAGGUCUAGCUCAAUGAGACUUCCUAAAAUGCAGUCUUCAGCAUGUCAGCACCUGCUAGAGAAUCUUCUUUCCACAGCUGCCCCUUGUAAAAGGGAUGACUGCUGGUUUAAUGUUUCUUUCUGGAAAGAUCUACCUUUCUUUCUGUCACACAAAGUCCACUUGGGUCAAAGUGGCUGACUCAUAUACUUCUUAUUCCCAGGUCUGUGCAUGUGACCCAGGACUAGCCAAUCAGAGUAUUCAAGGCCACUAUCCAUAGUGAUUGGUUCAGGAGUAGCCCUGUUGAGCCCCAGUGACUGGUCAAGGGGUGGGCAUGUGACCAGGUCUGGCAAAUUAGAAUAUUUAACCCCUUGGCCACAGUAGCUGUUUAGAAAUGGAUGCAUGAGCCAAUGGUGGGCCACUGAGAAUCUAUCCCAAACCCUCUAUGGGAACAAUUAGAUAAGAGGUGCACUCUUCCCUUGGAGGUUACUGGGGCAGACCAUGACAGCUUGGAAUUCUGUAGGUCAAACUGUCACUGUGAAUGAAAAGCCAGUUGGAGAUGGCUAAGAUAGGAAAAGAGGUCUAAGAGGGAGAGCUUUUGGAUCCAGCCAUACCUGAAGACUUCACAUUACACAAAUGAACUCUUUUUUACUCAAGUCAGCUUGAGUUGACUUUGCAAGUUUCUUUCAACUCAGGGUCCUAACUAAAACUUAUCUCUACCACAGAUAUCAUAUGCCACAGUAUGACCCUCUGGGUGGCCUUAGCCUACCUUUCCUUGCUCUUCUCUGGCCAACGUUCCUUCACCAAACCCUAGAAUUUAUCUUUGAUACAUCCUCCUUCGACUUCAUUGCUCAGUCCUUUUUCUCUAUGUGGUAAACCAUUUUCCUUUCCCUUUUAACGUGUCAUUGUCAGCUAACAUCUGACUCUGUACACAGGGUACCUAGUUCCAGGAAGGCGCAGUGCUCCUGUUAACACAUAGCUUUCCACUUCUGAGGAGCUUGUAAUCAAGUUGUAGGUUGCUUAGCACAAAGUGGGUGCUCAGUAAAGAACAAAUAAGUGAACUGAAUGAAUGAAUCUUUGAGUGAGUGAAUGAAAGAGAAGGCAGGGCUCAUACUAGUGAUGUUUAUGUCAAUUUAAGGCAGCAUUAGCUAGCUGCCAAAUGGGCAUGGACACCCCACAUUCUCACAGGAAUCAGAAAUAUGUGCAACAGGCGCAAGGAAAGUUUGGGAGGACGCUGUGGAUUUAAUGCCAGGUGGAAGCUUUACAUGCUUUUUUUUUAUGGCAAUAGAGAGCUACUGAAUUUGUAGAACAGGUGUGUUGCAUGUAACGCUGUGCCUCAGAGAUGCUAAACAGGCAAUGGCAUGAGGACUGAACUGGACAAGAAAUGACCAGUAGCAGUUGAACUAAUGAGGAGGAUAUUUGAAAUACAUCCUCCAUGGGGUGAUGUGAACCUGGCACAUGGAGUUGUGGGUGAUAGGAUGGCUUUGGGAAGAUUCCUGGGCUUCACUCUUGGAAAGUCUUUUUUAGCAGGUGUGCAAUGGGGUAUGAUCUGCCUAAAACAUUUUUAAAACAGCACCAGGUGAUUCUGAGGGGCAGUCUGCACAGUUGGGUUGCAGGGUUUGAUCCCUGGGUACUGGGAGGUUGAUGGCAGAAACAGGGAUGUGAGGAAGAGCUACUGGUUUGGAAAGAAAAAGACAAGCCCUUCCCUUUUUAGAAACUGUGACAUUUAAGGGACUAGCAGGAUGUCCAUGUGUAGCCCUCAGCAUACUGAUAAUGACAGACUGAAAGUCAAGACUACUGGAAAAAUAAUUUGGGAAGCUGUCCUUGUAGAGUUGGUGAACAAAUCCAAAUUAGUUGCCAAUAGAUUAAAACAGGGAAAUGUCACAUAAAAUGGUGAAUUUCUGUAUUCUCAUAGGAAAAUGAGAACAUUUGCCAUCUUGGACCCACACCCUAGAUUGGGGCUGAGAGGUGGCUGCUUCUGUUUGCAAGUGCUUUCAGUUUGUCAGUCUCUGCCCUUCCCUAAUGCCUCACACUCAAGCCACUUGGUCUGUUUAUCCUCCUGCCUAGUGCUACAGGCACUUGUAUUAGUGAACCUCAGUGUUGCCACAUGUAGGAAUAAGCAUGUGAAUGAGGAGGCAGAAAAGGAGACAAUAAAAUGUUGUCCCCAGAGGUGGGAUAUGAGUGUCCUGGAUGCCUUGGAAAAAAGAACAUAAAAUAUUGAGCGAGCAGCUCUGACCCAUAAGUUGCUGAACUUCAUUGGUCUUGAUUUCUUAUUUCUAAAAAGGAGUUAAUAAUAUUGGUUAAAUGGGCUAUUAGGUGCUUCAAAGUCUUAAUGCCUGUGAGAUUAGUUAAUGGCCUAAAAGGGGCCACAGAGCAGUAAGUUACUGAUGUGAGGGGGAAGGGGAGGACCCUACCAAAGGAGGGGCCUGAAUCCUUCUGCAACUUACCAGUACACUGUGUGUCACUGAACCCGAUAGUUGAUGUCUCUGAGACUAAAUGUUCUCAAUUGUAAACUGGGACAAUGAUGCCCAUGCACUAGGGCUGCUGGGAAGAUAAAAUGAGACUCAGUAGGUUUCAUCCUAAGUGGGAGUUAGGUUCUAAAAACCAACUUAAAGGCAAAAAUUGUGUACAUUUAAAAUAAACAUGGCAAAUCCUUCUAAAUAAUCCUAGGCAGUCAGCUAUGAAUAUAGAUGAAAAUGUGUACAAUGAUGCUUACUAUAUAAAGAGUGUGUAUAACAAAUAUGAUUUUACAGAAUGCUAAAUGUUUUAAAAUAAAGCUCUUUUGACUAAGCUCACAUUGAAGAAUUCAUGCAUGUGUACUUGUGGACCACCUAUAUAGGUAAAAAAAACACUUGAAAACUCCUUGUCAGGCUUUCAAAAUCCUGACUGAACACAUUGUAUGCUGCCACCAGGUGAUGGUUUUAAGAGGCCA
This is a non-coding RNA of Manis javanica (Malayan pangolin), 5379 nucleotides long. The record is from RefSeq and is a predicted model, not a curated record. Lineage: Eukaryota; Metazoa; Chordata; Mammalia; Pholidota; Manidae.